AAUUCCUGAAAAAUAGGAUUCACUACUGAGGCUAGCUCAAAUACAUGAAUUAAGUUAGCUAUGGCUGAUACUACUUCGACUUUCACAAUCCAAAUAAUUAUUAAGACACCAGAUACCCAAUCUAAUUAACGGACUAAUACUAAUUGAUUAUCAUGACAGUCCAAACUAGCUUAAACACAGUCCCGUAUACAAAGCAAAUACAAAUUUAAAAUAGCAAAACUAACAGACAUGAAUUGUCUAAUGUCUACUCUACUUUGGCAACUUGGAUGCAUAAGUCUCAAACUAGCAUUUUAUUGCAGCAUCUCAAUUCAGAAUUACAUCAGCUUGUUUUUCAAGUGUGUACCUGGAUGUUAAAAAUAGGAGAAGAAGAAGGAAUAGUCAGCAGCAUCAGUACAACACAUCAAUAAUAGCAGUACACCAGCAACAACCAACAACUAAGGGACAGUUUCAAACCACCAGUACAACAAUAAACCACAGCAACACCAGUACAUACCAGAAACCAGUAAAAUUCCCAGCACCAAUUGUAAAACCAACAGUAAUACUAACUUCAAACCAGAAACACACUUGACAGUAAUAACCAGCAACUAAUUGAACCCCAAAUAAACUUGACACACAAUGGACUCCUGAAACUUCAAAAGAACUGAAGUCCAAUGAACAAUAAGUUUUCAGUUAAAAGAAAUCAGUUUUUCACUAUUAUGCCCUUAAAGUAUUAUUUUUAAACUGAUUCUUAGACCGACUUCUUUCAGAACCUCUCUCUUUCGCAACUGACUGAAAAGAACAAAACUGAAAGUAAAUUGAUCUCUCUUCCAAAAUUCGUCAAGAACUCCUAGAUUGAUAUAAAAGGAACUCCCCUUUACUCUCCAAACUGACCUCUAUUUAUUCUUAAUGUGUUUCAGCCCCCUAGCCUAAGCCCCCUUAUGUUCUCUUUAAGGAACCAGUUUGCUCCCUCUUUUUUUCAAAAACUUUUUCUUUACAGCAACCCCCACUUCCAACCGAGAGGUUGUGAGUUCGAGUCUCCCCAAGAGCAAGGUGGGAAGUUCUUGGAGGGAAGGAUGCCGG
RNAcentral lists this long non-coding RNA (1059 nucleotides) under Nicotiana benthamiana. RNAcentral's name for it is "long non-coding RNA (NBEN_LNC031986)". Lineage: Eukaryota; Viridiplantae; Streptophyta; Magnoliopsida; Solanales; Solanaceae. The record is from RNAcentral.